RNAcentral lists this ribosomal RNA (447 nucleotides) under uncultured bacterium. Its description in RNAcentral is "bacterial SSU rRNA". It matches the Rfam family "Bacterial small subunit ribosomal RNA", at positions 355 to 825 of the family's 1533-position model. The record is from RNAcentral.
UCGGGAAUUUUGGGCAAUGGGCGAAAGCCUGGCCCAGCAACGCCGCGUGAAGGAUGAAGUAUUUCGGUAUGUAAACUUCGAAAGAAUAGGAAGAAUAAAUGACGGUACUAUUUAUAAGGUCCGGCUAACUACGUGCCAGCAGCCGCGGUAAUACGUAGGGACCAAGCGUUGUUCGGAUUUACUGGGCGUAAAGGGCGCGUAGGCGGCAAUUCAAGUCAUCUGUGAAAUCUCCGGGCCUAACUCGGAACGGUCAGAUGAUACUGCUUUGCUAGAGUGCAGAAGGGGCAAUCGGAAUUCUUGGUGUAGCGGUGAAAUGCGUAGAUAUCUGGAGGAACACCGGUGGCGAAGGCGACAUCCUGGACCAAUUCUGACGCUGAGGAGCGAAAGCCAGGGGAGCAAACGGGAUUAGAUACCCCUGUAGUCCCUGAGCGGGCUGGCAAGGCGCAU